This 1368-nucleotide ribosomal RNA is filed under the name uncultured bacterium. Its description in RNAcentral is "bacterial SSU rRNA". It matches the Rfam family "Bacterial small subunit ribosomal RNA", at positions 28 to 1381 of the family's 1533-position model. The record is from RNAcentral.
GACGAACGCUGGCGGCGUGCCUAAUACAUGCAAGUUGAGCGCUGAAGGUUGGUACUUGUACCGACUGGAUGAGCAGCGAACGGGUGAGUAACGCGUGGGGAAUCUGCCUUUGAGCGGGGGACAACAUUUGGAAACGAAUGCUAAUACCGCAUAAAAACUUUAAACACAAGUUUUAAGUUUGAAAGAUGCAAUUGCAUCACUCAAAGAUGAUCCCGCGUUGUAUUAGCUAGUUGGUGAGGUAAAGGCUCACCAAGGCGAUGAUACAUAGCCGACCUGAGAGGGUGAUCGGCCACAUUGGGACUGAGACACGGCCCAAACUCCUACGGGAGGCAGCAGUAGGGAAUCUUCGGCAAUGGACGAAAGUCUGACCGAGCAACGCCGCGUGAGUGAAGAAGGUUUUCGGAUCGUAAAACUCUGUUGGUAGAGAAGAACGUUGGUGAGAGUGGAAAGCUCAUCAAGUGACGGUAACUACCCAGAAAGGGACGGCUAACUACGUGCCAGCAGCCGCGGUAAUACGUAGGUCCCGAGCGUUGUCCGGAUUUAUUGGGCGUAAAGCGAGCGCAGGUGGUUUAUUAAGUCUGGUGUAAAAGGCAGUGGCUCAACCAUUGUAUGCAUUGGAAACUGGUAGACUUGAGUGCAGGAGAGGAGAGUGGAAUUCCAUGUGUAGCGGUGAAAUGCGUAGAUAUAUGGAGGAACACCGGUGGCGAAAGCGGCUCUCUGGCCUGUAACUGACACUGAGGCUCGAAAGCGUGGGGAGCAAACAGGAUUAGAUACCCUGGUAGUCCACGCCGUAAACGAUGAGUGCUAGAUGUAGGGAGCUAUAAGUUCUCUGUAUCGCAGCUAACGCAAUAAGCACUCCGCCUGGGGAGUACGACCGCAAGGUUGAAACUCAAAGGAAUUGACGGGGGCCCGCACAAGCGGUGGAGCAUAUGGUUUAAUUCGAAGCAACGCGAAGAACCUUACCAGGUCUUGACAUACUCGUGCUAUUCCUAGAGAUAGGAAGUUCCUUCGGGACACGGGAUACAGGUGGUGCAUGGUUGUCGUCAGCUCGUGUCGUGAGAUGUUGGGUUAAGUCCCGCAACGAGCGCAACCCCUAUUGUUAGUUGCCAUCAUUAAGUUGGGCACUCUAACGAGACUGCCGGUGAUAAACCGGAGGAAGGUGGGGAUGACGUCAAAUCAUCAUGCCCCUUAUGACCUGGGCUACACACGUGCUACAAUGGAUGGUACAACGAGUCGCGAGACAGUGAUGUUUAGCUAAUCUCUUAAAACCAUUCUCAGUUCGGAUUGUAGGCUGCAACUCGCCUACAUGAAGUCGGAAUCGCUAGUAAUCGCGGAUCAGCACGCCGCGGUGAAAAGGUUCCCGGGCCU